CGUUUAGUGGCGGACGGGUGAGUAACGCGUGAGCAACCUGCCUUUCAGAGGGGGACAACAGUUGGAAACGACUGCUAAUACCGCAUAAUAUGUAUUUAAGGCAUCUUAGAUACAUCAAAGAUUUAUCGCUGAGAGAUGGGCUCGCGUCUGAUUAGCUGGUUGGUGAGGUAACGGCUCACCAAGGCGACGAUCAGUAGCCGGACUGAGAGGUUGAACGGCCACAUUGGGACUGAGAUACGGUCCAGACUCC
Molecule: ribosomal RNA, 250 nt
Filed under: uncultured Oscillospiraceae bacterium
Lineage: Bacteria; Bacillati; Bacillota; Clostridia; Eubacteriales; Oscillospiraceae
Description: partial 16S ribosomal RNA
Rfam family: Bacterial small subunit ribosomal RNA
Source: RNAcentral